CCAUCUUGGACCGGUCAUCCUACGAGUUGCCUAGCAGCAGAAUACACGACUGAGAAAGAUGCCAGAACACUGUUCAGCAUCUUCCUGCUCCAAUCGACGGACUGUCGAAAACAGGGCUCGGGGGAUUACUUUUCACAAUUAUUUAAAACAGUUAUAGAGCGGAAGCUGUCCUGUGACGUGUGCCGUGCGAGCCUCGUCAGAGAUGCUGCUGUGCCAUCAUCACGUGACGAGAGCUGCCCACCCGCCACCUUGUGGCCCUGCAACACAACGGCGGGCGGCGGCCUAGUGACCCAUCACAAGGCACAGGGAAGAAGGUGCUGAGAGCUGCAGAGAGGGUGAUUGGCCAAGCUGCAGCACAGCAAACUCCAAAGCGGUCUACAAUCACCCACAUCGUCCGUGAGGAGACUGGCACGGAGGAGG
This is a long non-coding RNA of Lampris incognitus (smalleye Pacific opah), 420 nucleotides long. RefSeq lists it as uncharacterized. Lineage: Eukaryota; Metazoa; Chordata; Actinopteri; Lampriformes; Lampridae. The record is from RefSeq and is a predicted model, not a curated record. The transcript has 3 exons.